GCUUCCGAGGAGCGUUGCGACGGGCAAUCCGCAAGACGGGCAAUCCGCAAGACACCCGCCAGGCUCGGAAGCAUUCAAUCCGGACGGUUCGAACGUGCUUUUAGUCAUGAAAGGCGCCCGCUGAGCCACCGCAUUCGAACGGCGCUCACGUCAA
RNAcentral lists this non-coding RNA (154 nucleotides) under unidentified. Its description in RNAcentral is "Candidatus Burkholderia SAH sequence". It matches the Rfam family "SAH (S-adenosyl-L-homocysteine) riboswitch aptamer". The record is from RNAcentral.